UUGACCUCGGAUCAGGUAGGGAUACCCGCUGAACUUAAGCAUAUCAAUAAGCGGAGGAAAAGAAACCAACAGGGAUUGCCUCAGUAACGGCGAGUGAAGCGGCAACAGCUCAAAUUUGAAAUCUGACCCCUUUGGGGCCCGAGUUGUAAUUUGUAGAGGGUGUUUCGGGCGCGGCGCCGGUCUAAAGUUCCUUGGAACAGGACGUCAUAGAGGGUGAGAAUCCCGUAUGUGACUGGCGAUCAAGCCCAUGUGAAGCCCCUUCGACGAGUCGAGUUGUUUGGGAAUGCAGCUCAAAAUGGGUGGUAAAUUCAUCUAA
RNAcentral lists this ribosomal RNA (316 nucleotides) under Pseudocyphellaria rufovirescens. RNAcentral describes it as "eukaryotic LSU rRNA". It matches the Rfam family "Eukaryotic large subunit ribosomal RNA", at positions 1 to 313 of the family's 3401-position model. Lineage: Eukaryota; Fungi; Ascomycota; Lecanoromycetes; Peltigerales; Lobariaceae. The record is from RNAcentral.